Non-coding RNA from Doryrhamphus excisus (bluestripe pipefish), 1445 nucleotides. NCBI's taxonomy places the organism in Eukaryota, Metazoa, Chordata, Actinopteri, Syngnathiformes, Syngnathidae. The record is from RefSeq and is a predicted model, not a curated record.
UCAUGGAGGGCCGAGACACUCCAGGUUUUCUUCCCAAAGCUGCUGAUUAGAAUGAUGAACCCUCCUUUGGUUUGAGGGAAGCAGCUCAUCAAUGAAAUCACCUGCUCGAGAAAGAAAGAAAACCUGCAGUGCUUCGGCCUCUGUCGACACAUGUGCUUUAACAGACAAACCUUAUCGCAAAUAACUGAAUUAUCAAAAGUAUCGACAUUUUGAUUUGAGAGUCGUUUAUUCAUAGCGAUAUUUCAGUAUCGAUCCGCACAUCGUGGAUGACGGGACACCUGGAUUCCUCCUCUCAGUGCAGUGACGUGUGGAAACUUUGUGUCCUAUACGCAAAUAUUGCCCUUUUCAGUUUUAGAUGGGAUGUCUUCACUUUCAAGCCGUCUGAGAGGUGUCACCCCAACCCUACCCACCCCCGUCCAGAGGCUGAGACUUCCACGCCGGCCCUCCUGUUUGCAGAUCCUUUCAGGAAGUGGAGGGCGAAGGGCGAUGUGUCUGAAGGCCUGGAAACAAGGUCCGCCGAGCCCACAGAGAAAGAAGCCCUCGGCUAUGGCCAGGCGGAAAAACAAGUGCACAGACGGCGAUGUGACACAAAAAUUCAUGUAAGUAUAAAAUUUUACACUCAUUUUCCCUGUCAGCUUGUCAGAAUGAAUUAUAAAGGUUGAUUCGCUUAUUCGGCUAAGGGAGAUCCCACAUGCCUGCCCGUCUGAACACCGUCAUAUGGUCACCGUCGGACUUGCGGGGAGACCUUCGGGUAAAGGUAACGCUGCAUGGGUUCGCUUCAAGAUGGUAGUAAUUCCAUCGGUUGCCGUCCACCAAGAGUCGACGGAGAGUCUACGAGUUUACCUUUUUAUUUGUCCUUCAUUUUUCAGUGGAAUUUCCACCGUGAGCAACUUUCUUUUUGAGGUUCUGUCACCGUCUUGUAGCUUUCACUCACCUGUUUUAAUCUCAUCACAUACUUGCAUAAGGACUUUUUGUCUUUCAGUAGAGUUUUUUUGCUCAUAUUCUCUAAUUAGCACAGUGCCUGCAGGCUAUUUGUGACCUUUCCGUAUGUAAAUAGCUGGUUGCCUAAGCCCCCGCUCUCUGGCUCGCCUUGACAAUGAGAGCAGUCGGAGUGGGCCAGCACUCGUGCGUGGAUGGGUGUCACCACUCCCGGCAUGUUUGGCAGAGGCCAUGGCGGCAUCGGGAAGUGAGGUGUUUGGGAGCGUUUUGAUUGACAGCUGCCAGGUGUGAUGCUGGCAGCCUGACGCAGUGCGCGGCAACUGUCAACUGUCACUUCCCUUUGCAUCAUACACCACCUCCUGAGCCCUGUCACACGGCCUGAGCACGCCAACUUUGGGAGAGGCCUCGGCCUUGGAUGUAUUGGAUGGUUGCUAGCGAGCGGGCUAUUUUUCUACUUUUCUGGACCGUACCGUUUUUCACUGGGAAACUACCAUUUAUUGCCCUCC